RNAcentral lists this small RNA (375 nucleotides) under Histoplasma ohiense. RNAcentral describes it as "hypothetical lncRNA". Lineage: Eukaryota; Fungi; Ascomycota; Eurotiomycetes; Onygenales; Ajellomycetaceae. The record is from RNAcentral.
UCAAGAGGCAGAACAAAAAUAUAAUGACACUACUAACCCUCAGAACAAAAUUUGCCAACAGGCAAUAUCAAAACUCCUUACCAGCUUGAUGAGGAAGAGAGCUGCAUUCAAACUUGGCUCAUGAACCAGCAAUGAAAACCUUGCAUCCGAUCUCAUUAGUUUAUUCAAGUGUCUCCAACAAAACCACCUCACCUACAACCACUGCCGAGCGUUGGCGCGGCUCAUCAUUCAAAAAGACCUGGACAUCAAUGUCUGGAACUCUGUCCUUAGUCUUAUUGACACCAUCACACAAGUCACCACUCCUCCGCGCCUCAUAUCAUCAAUUCAGCAGACGCCCUGGUUGCGCAACACUAGCAGUUUCAUCAAUUCUACAGA